Molecule: ribosomal RNA, 442 nt
Filed under: uncultured bacterium
Lineage: Bacteria
Description: bacterial SSU rRNA
Rfam family: Bacterial small subunit ribosomal RNA
Source: RNAcentral
UCCUACGGGAGGCAGCAGUGGGGAAUAUUGCACAAUGGGGGAAACCCUGAUGCAGCGACGCCGCGUGAGUGAUGAAGUAUUUCGGUAUGUAAAGCUCUAUCAGCAGGGAAGAUAAUGACGGUACCUGACUAAGAAGCACCGGCUAAAUACGUGCCAGCAGCCGCGGUAAUACGUAUGGUGCAAGCGUUAUCCGGAUUUACUGGGUGUAAAGGGUGCGUAGGUGGUAAGGCAAGUCAGGAGUGAAAACACGGGGCUCAACCCCGUGACUGCUUUUGAAACUGUCUAACUAGAGUGCAGGAGAGGAAAGCGGAAUUCCUAGUGUAGCGGUGAAAUGCGUAGAUAUUAGGAGGAACACCGGUGGCGAAGGCGGCUUUCUGGACUGUAACUGACACUGAAGCACGAAAGCGUGGGGAGCAAACAGGAUUAGAUACCCUGGUAGUCC